UACAGAGAGUGCAAGCGUUAAUCGGAAUUACUGGGCGUAAAGGGUGCGUAGGUGGAUUGGUAAGUCAGUGGUGAAAUCUCCGGGCUUAACCCGGAAACUGCCAUUGAUACUAUCAGUCUUGAAUACCGUGGAGGUCAGCGGAAUAUGUCAUGUAGCGGUGAAAUGCUUAGAUAUGACAUAGAACACCAAUUGCGAAGGCAGCUGGCUACACGAAUAUUGACACUCAGGCACGAAAGCGUGGGGAUCAAACAGG
RNAcentral lists this ribosomal RNA (253 nucleotides) under uncultured bacterium. RNAcentral describes it as "partial 16S ribosomal RNA". It matches the Rfam family "Bacterial small subunit ribosomal RNA", at positions 524 to 776 of the family's 1533-position model. The record is from RNAcentral.